GAUAAGCACAUUUCAUAUAUACAAUUUUGGCAUAGAAAUAUAUUAUUUAUUGAGAUAUGACCAUUAAUUCUUGCUGUGAAAUAUUGAAUAUUUGCAUGAAAAUCAUAUAAAGUAUCAUUUACUAGUCUUUGGUCUAUUUUGCAGAAAUGUGCGCAAAGGCACUAUAAAUCUUCAAGAUCCGGACUAAGUGGCUAAGAGAACGAAGAAGAGGAGGAAGAAUGGACCCGACCGUGAAGAAAAGAAGUAACCAGAGGGGCCAAGCUAAAGUUGGAGGGAUCAUCUUGUGAAGAAAGAAUAGAAGUGGAAGGGCAAAAGAGCAAAAGUGGCAGAUCAGAGGAGGGGGAUCAAAUCCCUACCGCAGCCUCGAUCCCCUUCGGGCCUGGCUACAUCUCAUCUCUCUCCCUCUCCCCUUCUUCUCCAUCACCGGCCGCCGCCACGGCCAGGCCGGCAUGGUGGUGAGCCAUUCACCCAGCGCCACCAUCUCCUUCUCCUCCCCGAAGCCAUCCAUCUCCACCGUCCGUGCCCAGCGCCAACCAGCACCGCCUCCAUCCAUCACCCAGCGCCACCACUACUCCUCCUACCUCCAGUGCCUACAUCCACCACACCAGCCGCUCCCUCACGCGCCGCAUCAGACACUCCGGCGCGAGUGUCUGGUCACCCGCGUGAGUGCGCCACCCAACUCCUUCGCCUCGGAUCUAUCUCACAGACCACCAGUGUGCCACCACCAUCGCCAACUCCCUCUUCCUUCUUCUGCUCUCUGCCUGCUGCUGCUUCUUCUUCCCACGCCCCUGCUGCUGCUUGCUCUCUCAAUCUCUGCUACUACUUCUCCAUCUCUUGCUGCUACUUCUUCUCUGAACCUCAUUUCUUCUCCUUGCAUCCCCUUGUUGCUGCUCCAUUCCCAAACUGCUGCUACCUAUUCUUCUUCUUCUCUGAACCUUUGUCCUUCCCCUCGUUGCUGCUCCUCACUUGCGCUAGCUGCUCCUGUUCCCUACGCCUCUGCUACUGUUUCUUGCUUCUCUUCUGAACCUGAAGCUCUCUCUCUCUCUUAUCUCAAACUGCUAUAAACUUUAGAAGUGUAAUGUUCAGAAUUUUGUAAUGUUCAGGGUUGUGGAAUGUUCAGACUUGACAAGUUCUAGCAACUCAUUAUUUGUUCAGUUUAGUACCUGUAUAAUAAAGUACUUGUUAUGUUGGACCUGGCUAGUUGAGGCCUUGUUAAUUUGGGUGAUAAUUGAUCUAUUAGAAUGUGCUUCUGUGUAUUACUAUUCUGCUAGUAUAUGUGCGUGUUCACCUUGUGUACUAAUCCCCUUUCCUAGUUAUCUUCCAGUACUUGUCAACUUUGUGUGUGUUUGAUUUUCAGUCCAUGUGUUAGCUCAAGUACCUGUGCCAUAUAAAUAUGUGUGUGUGCUUGUGAUUUAAAUAAUCUGUUUUUUGUUCAGUAAUUCAUACGCUUGCUAGAUAUAUAUGGUCAUGCCUUUUGAAUUCCCUUGUCACUGAUGUUAGCCUUUUAGUUUCUAUAAUAAUAUGAAAAUACCAAAAAGACAGAGUAAAGAUAAUCUUCAUCUCCCUUUGCUUCUGUCAUUUUCUUUGUUGAUGAUCCUUGUUAGUGUUAGGUUUAUUUUCUGUUUUCAUCAUUCAAUUGGGUCACCUAGCUUUAGUUGAACGUAGUUGCCGUCGCCUAGUCCCUGUGGAGAACACGACAUUCGUAGUUUGGGGCGUAAAAACCCCGCUAUAUUACAAUUGAUUAUUUUGGCGCCGUUGCCGGGGACUAGCGUCGAGCGAUUGUGCUAGGCUAUAGACUAGGUUUUUCUUGUUUUCAUCUUGUGCCAUAUAUUUGUGAUAUUUCUCAAGCCACUAACCCCUGUUCUAGUUAGUAUCUUUUUGUCUUCUUUUCCUUUUUGCAGGUUGGAUUAUCCUCUCGGAAAUGGCAUUCUAUUCAGAUCAUCAUGCUUAUGCGAGCAACACUACAAACAGCACAGAAACUAUUCAAGAACUGAUAGGUAAGAUUUCCCAUCGAUUAGAUGAUUUAGCUCGGCAGUGAGAAGUAGUUUUAGAGGAUAGGCCUAGUUCUUACUAUCCUUAUUCUAAAGGCCAUCCUUAUGUUGCUCCUACUUGCCAUAUUUGUGGAUUUCAGGGCCAUUCGCCCGCUGAAUGUCAGCGUGGCUACUCUCACACUCCGGAUUGUUUUGGCAUGAGCUUCGCUCAAGAGCAUAGCUCAUACCAAAACAAUUACUCACAUGGGUGGCCUGAAAUCCCGAAUAUGUCAUAUAGGAGCAACAACCCUGAGAUCUCACAGUUUGGUUCUAGUAAUCAUAUGCAGGGAUUUAGGUACAAUGAGGAGAGCCACAACUAUGCACCACAACAAUUCCAUUCAGCUCCUACUCAUAUACCACAGCACCAAGAGAUGUGUCCAAUGGAGUUAAAUGGUCCUCCAUUUGGUCAACCAACAACUCCAGCACCUGUUGUGCAAUCUCAUGUGCAAGUGCCCACACAAGAUGAGUUCGAUGACAUAGACAAGCUCACACUUUUGAGUCUCGAGUUCACUUGGAGUGCCGAGGAUGAUCCUAUUAGGAAGGUUAUACUAGAGGAAAUGAAGAAGAUUAAGAGUGGAAAGGAGCUAGUGGAUGAAGUAAGGAAGAUUGAGAAGAACAUCAACGCUGGUAGUACUAUCUCAUCUCUCCUUGAGCUGAGUGCUGCUGAGAUUUCUAGUCAUACAUGUGAGAUUCCAACACCUUCACAUUUCGUUGAGCAAGAUAGCAAGUGCCUUGAGCAAGAAAUACCUCAGAUUGAAGAAGAUGAACUAGAAGACAAGGAACAAGAUGGUCAAGAGCUGCAAUUCCCAAGUGAUCAAGUUGAAGACUCAUCAUCUACUACUCCUGAAGAAGUACAAGAAGCUGCUGUAGAUGAAGAUGAAGAACCUGAGAUUCAUUGGACUAUUAUCAUACAUGAGCAUGAUGUGUCAGGUUUACCCAAUCCUCUUGAUGACAUGAGUCCUUAUGAUUUAUUUGCUUCUACCUUGCAUUACAUGAUGCCAUCACUUAAGAUUUAUUUGAAAAAUCAUUUACUUGGAUAUGAUGAUACAUACACUGUUGGUGGCAUUGCUCUCAUUUGUGAUGAUCACAACUACUUUCCUCAUGCUAGUCUUGAGCUUAAUGAUAAAUGUCAUCCUCGUGUGAGUAUUGACCAUGCUGAUUUCUGCCAUCCUAAACAUGUGCUUUAUAGUUAUGCUUAUAUAAUUGGAUAUUCCAUUGAUGACUUGGAGGGCAUCGACCGUAUCACUUGUAGUUGUUUGUGUGAGUCCUAUUUUAGGCUUUUGCUACUGCACUAUUUACUACAUGCUGACCAGGUUCGAGGUGACAUUCCUUGGGAUCCUGGUGGAGUCAGAGCAUGGCGAUGAGGAGAAGCAAUGGGGCACACAUAUGGAAGAGUGAAGCUGGAGCAUCCACGAGGAAGCAAGGGAGAAGAGCUGCAGCUGGUGAGGUGAUCGAGCGAAUGCUACAUGAUCAAAGCCCGGUGAGAUGUUUCAUGACCCAUUCUGAAUAUCAUAAAUACAUGCUAAAUUCAAUUGCUAGUUGGGUUGCUUGAGCUAGUUAUUACUUGUUGUCAAGCUGAAAUUCACCUUUGGCAUUGUGCUUGAUGUGAAUUUGUGAACUUGAUUUCUGAAUGCCUUGUAAACUAGUGAUCUACACCAUGCAUGCUUUGCUGAAAUUUGUGGAAGUUAUUAGUUUUGAGUGCUCAAAUCCCUAGUACACUAGAAAACUUGAUCAUUUUUUGCUUUUACCUUGAUACACCUAGAUCACCAUGUUUAGAUGCUGAAUUUGUGCUAAGUGUGUUCCCAUUGAGAGCAAUCACCUAACCACUAUGGAUUAGCAUGCUAUGUUCCCUGGAUCAGUAGCAUGUGAACCAGACAUGGAGAAGUGAUGAUUCCUGUUUUUGUGCUUAUGUGUUGUUCAUUUAAGAUAGGUAAUAAUGAAUAUAUAAGUCUGGCUACCUACAGUAGCAUGUCAUGUUCCCGGGAUCGGUGGCAUGUGAAAUCGGGUUAGCUUGGGCAGUAAUUAAUAAUAAUAAAAAAGUAAUUGUCGAACCAGGUGUAUACCAUGAUCUCGGGAUCGGUGGUAUGUUCCUUUGGGGAGACAAACAAAAAAAUUAAUAAAAAUUGGUUGAGCCAGGUGUAUACCAUGUUCUCGGGAUCGGUGGUAUGUUCCUUCGGUGAGACUAAUAAAAUAAUAUGUGUGUUUCUUUCAAAUUCAAUAAGUGGUUCAACCACAAAGUCAUAUUUCUGCAAAUAAGAGAUUUAGUUCCAGUUCUUUUUGUUCUCGGGAUCAUGCUCUCUUUAGGAACCAUUUGGCGCAGUCAUCAUUUAAACUUGUUGAUCCUCUUUUAUCAUUGUAAAAGUUUAAAAUGGUCAUGCUUACUAGUAUCCUACCGCUUUGAAGCACUCCUAACCAUUAAUUUUCACUAGCUAAGUCCAAAGCAUGCACUGUUUAGAGAUCUACUUCACUUGGUAUUCUCUAGUCAGCUCACUGUUCACAUUCUUGUUCUUGUCAUAUGCCUUUGCUCGAGGACAAGCAAAAGUUUAAGUGUGGGGAACUUGAUAAGCACAUUUCAUAUAUACAAUUUUGGCAUAGAAAUAUAUUAUUUAUUGAGAUAUGACCAUUAAUUCUUGCUGUGAAAUAUUGAAUAUUUGCAUGAAAAUCAUAUAAAGUAUCAUUUACUAGUCUUUGGUCUAUUUUGCAAAAAUGUGCGCAAAGGCACUAUAAAUCUUCAAGAUCCGUACUAAGUGGCUAAGAGAACGAAGAAGAGGAGGAAGAAUGGACCCGACCGUGAAGAAAAGAAGUAACCAGAGGGGCCAAGCUAAAGUUGGAGGGAUCAUCUUGUGAAGAAAGAAUAGAAGUGGAAGGGCAAAAGAGCAAAAGUGGCAGAUCAGAGGAGGGGGAUCAAAUCCCUAGCGCAGCCUCGAUCCCCUUCAGGCCUGGCUACAUCUCAUCUCUCUCCCUCUCCCCUUCUUCUCCAUCACCGGCCGCCGCCACGGCCAGGCCGGCGUGGUGGUGAGCCAUUCACCCAGCGCCACCAUCUCCUUCUCCUCCCCGAAGCCAUCCAUCUCCACCGUCCGCGCCCAGCGCCAACCAGCACCGCCUCCAUCCAUCACCCAGCGCCAACCAGCACCGCCUCCAUCCAUCACCCAGCGCCACCACUACUCCUCCUACCUCCAGUGCCUACAUCCACCACACCAGCCGCUCCCUCACGCGCCGCAUCAGACACUCCGGCGCGAGUGUCUGGUCACCCGCGUGAGUGUGCCACCCAACUCCUUCCGCCUCGGAUCCAUCUCGCAGACCACCAGUGUGCCACCACCAUCGCCAACUCCCUCUUCCUUCUUCUGCUCUCUGCCUGCUGCUGCUUCUUCUUCCCAUGCCCCUGCUGCUGCUUGCUCUCUCAAUCUCUGCUACUACUUCUCCAUCUCUUGCUGCUACUUCUUCUCUGAACCUCAUUUCUUCUCCUUGCAUCCCCUUGUUGCUGCUCCAUUCCCAAACUGCUGCUACCUAUUCUUCUUCUUCUCAGAACCUCUGUCCUUCCCCUCGUUGCUGCUCCUCACUUGCGCCAGCUGCUCCUGUUCCCUACGCCUCUGCUACUGGUUCUUGCUUCUCUUUUGAACCUGAAGCUCUCUCUCUCUCUCUUAUCUCAAACUGCUGUAAACUUUAGAAGUGUAAUGUUCAGAAUUUUGUAAUGUUUAGGGUUGUGUAAUGUUCAGACUUGACAAGUUCUGGCAACUCGUUAUUUGUUCAGUUUAGUACCUGUAUAAUAAAGUACUUGUUAUGUUGGACCUGGCUAGUUGAGGCCUUGUUAAUUUGGGUGAUAAUUGAUCUAUUAGAAUGUGCUUCUGUGUAUUACUAUUCUGCUAGUAUAUGUGCGUGUUCACCUUGUGUACUAAUCUCCUUUCCUAGUUAUCUUCCAGUACUUGUCAACUUUGUGUGUGUUUGAUUUUCAGUCCAUGUGUUAGCUCAAGUACCUGUGCCAUAUAAAUAUGUGUGUGUGCUUGUGAUUUAAAUAAUCUGUUUU
This 6054-nucleotide long non-coding RNA is filed under the name Triticum aestivum (bread wheat). RNAcentral describes it as "long non-coding RNA (TAES_LNC007292)". Lineage: Eukaryota; Viridiplantae; Streptophyta; Magnoliopsida; Poales; Poaceae. The record is from RNAcentral.